This is an RNA transcript of Eptesicus fuscus (big brown bat), 3037 nucleotides long. It is a transcript of the gene named galactosylceramidase, with no coding region annotated. NCBI's taxonomy places the organism in Eukaryota, Metazoa, Chordata, Mammalia, Chiroptera, Vespertilionidae. The transcript is spliced from 18 exons. The record is from RefSeq and is a predicted model, not a curated record.
CAAUGGCUGAGAGGCUACUCCAGGCUUCCCGGCAACGCCGAGCAAAAGCCAUGACGGCCGCCGCGGGUUCGGCGAGCCGGGCCGCCCUGCCCCUGCUGCUCUGCGCUCUCCUGGCGUUCGGCGGCGCGUACGUGCUCGACGACUCCGACGGGCUGGGCCGGGAGUUCGAUGGCAUCGGCGCGAUCAGCGGCGGCGGGGCAACCUCCCGGCUUCUAAUAAAUUACCCAGAGCCCUAUCGUUCUCAAAUAUUGGAUUAUCUCUUCAAGCCAAACUUCGGUGCCUCUUUGCAUAUUCUAAAAGUCGAAAUAGGUGGUGAUGGGCAGACAACAGAUGGCACUGAGCCCUCCCACAUGCACUACGCAUUAGAUGAGAAUUACUUGCGAGGAUAUGAGUGGUGGUUAAUGAAGGAGGCUAAGAAGCGGAACUCUAAUAUCACACUCAUGGGGCUGCCGUGGUCAUUCCCUGGAUGGCUGGGGAAACGUUUCGACUGGCCUUACGUAAACCGUCAUCUGACUGCCUACUAUAUCGUGUCCUGGAUUGUGGGCGCCAAGCGUUAUCAUGACUUAGACAUUGAUUAUAUUGGGAUUUGGAAUGAGAGGUCAUUUGACAUCAAUUAUAUCAAGGUUUUAAGAAGAAUGCUGAACUAUCAAGGUCUCGAGCGAGUGAAAAUCAUAGCGAGCGACAACCUCUGGGAGCCCAUUUCUGCUUCUAUGCUGCUCGACGAGGAGCUCAUGGAAGUGGUUGACGUUAUAGGAGCUCAUUAUCCUGGGACCCACACAGUCAAGGAUGCACGGCUGACUAAGAAGAAGCUUUGGUCUUCUGAAGAUUUUAGCACUCUGAACAAUGCCAUGGGCGCCGGCUGCUGGGGUCGCAUAUUGAAUCAGAAUUAUGUCAAUGGCUACAUGACUUCAACAAUUGCUUGGAAUGUGGUGGCCAGUUACUAUGAGCAGUUGCCCUAUGGGCGCAGCGGGCUGAUGACUGCUCAGGAGCCCUGGAGUGGGCACUACGUGGUGGAAGCUCCUAUCUGGAUAUCAGCGCAUACUACUCAGUUUACUCGACCAGGUUGGUAUUACCUGAAGACAGUUGGCCAUUUAGAGAAAGGAGGAAGCUAUGUAGCUCUGACUGAUGGCUUAGGUAACCUCACCAUCAUCAUUGAAACAAUGAGCCAUAAACAUUCUAAGUGUAUACGGCCACUGCUUCCUUAUUUCAACGUGUCACACCAAAUUGCUACCUUCUUUCUUCAGGGUUCUUUUAGUGAAAUACCAGAGCUGCAGGUGUGGUACACCAAGCUUGGGAAGUCAUCGGAGAGGUUUCUCUUUAAACAACUGGAUUCCCUAUGGCUCCUCGACAGCAGCGGCAGCUUCACAGUGGAGCUGCAAGAGGACGAGCUGUUCACACUCACCACUCUCACCACCGGCAGCAAAGGCAGCUACCCGCCGCCUCCCAAGUCCCAGCCCUUCCCACCCAUCUACACGGAUGACUUCAACGUUGAAUACCCGUUUUUCAGUGAAGCCCCGAAUUUUGCUGACCAGACGGGCGUGUUUGAAUACUUUAUGAAUUCGGAAGACCCCGGCGAGCACCGCUUCACGCUGCGCCAAGUUCUCAAUCAGCGACCCAUUACGUGGGCUGCGGACGCGGCCAGCACCAUCAGCAUUAUCGGGGAUUACAAGUGGUCCAAUAUGACCAUCACGUGUGAUGUUUACAUAGAGACCCCUAGGAAGGGAGGUGUGUUCAUUGCCGGAAGAGUAAAUAAAGGUGGCAUCUUGAUUAGAAGUGCCAGAGGGAUUUUCUUCUGGAUUUUUGCAAAUGGAACCUACAGAGUUACAGGUGAUCUGGCUGGAUGGCUCAUAUAUGCUGUAGGGCAAGUUGAGGUUACAGCACAAGAAUGGUAUACACUCACUUUAACUAUUAAGGGUCAUCUCUCCUCCGGCACGUUGAAUGGCAAGCUUCUGUGGUCAGAGGUCCCAGUGAAUUUCCCCAAGAAUGGCUGGGCUGCGAUUGGAACUCACUCCUUUGAUUUUGCACAGUUUGACAACUUUCACGUGGAUGCCACACCCUAAUAUUCACAGAGCACCGUAGAACACUCUUUGGAUUUUUUUUCUUUCUUUUUGGUUUGGUUCAGAGCCAAUUCUUUUUUUUUUUUUUUUUUUGAUGGAUUGAUAUAUAAGCCUUUGGAGGCUAAAAAUAAUGAAGAGUAAAUGAGGAAGAAAUAUGUUUUUAUUUGAUCAUGUGGAAGAUAUUUUUAGAACCGGUUCCAAGGGGAAAAACAGGUGAAUCUUUAACAUCACCUGGUGUGUACCCUACUCUUCAAAUGGUACAUUGGUUCCACCCCUAGGAGGGCUUUGGGUGGUCCAGACCUUGACACUUGGUGUCACUGCUGAGACCGCCCUCGUCAUCUUAUUUGGAAGUGAUCAUGCAGGUGGGCCGGAAGGAGGAAGAAAAUACCCUACAGCCAAUGCUGUACGUGGGUCUAAAGAUGAAAUUGAAGGAAAUUUUCUUGAAUCAUUUCAUGUGCUUUUCCUGGUUUGUCUUCUCAUGGGUCACUGGGAAGAGAUUAAAAGAGUCCAUGAAUGAAUUUUUUUUAUCUGCUUGUAUGCAGAAGAAGGGGGGCACUUAGCUAGUUGCUAAUGCCUAGAAUUGGAUCUAAUAUUUUGUGUGGUUAGAUGCAUUUAUGUCAUAUACUACCAAUGCAUUUAUAGUUAAGUAUGGGUGAGCAUAUUUGUCAUGCAGUAUAGUUUAUGUUUAAGAAUUAGUGUACGUCCUAGAAACAACUCAGUCAUUCAUGUGGAUAAAGUAAAUUCUGGAAUUCUUUGGAAAGUUUAAAGCUUCAAUGAACCGAUUCUUCAAUUUUGAAAUUUAUAAUCGUUUCAUAUAGGCUAAACUGACAUGAAAUUUUGUAUUACUAUUAAACUCAAGAAACGAAAUAUUAGAAUAAAUCAGAUUACAGAGAAAAAAUUUAAAUUUAAACCAUGUCUAAGUGAUUUCCAGUUCAGUCCCUACAUAUUUUUAAAAAACUAACUUUACUGAAGUAUAACUU